This 73-nucleotide transfer RNA is filed under the name Trichonephila inaurata madagascariensis. It matches the Rfam family "tRNA". Rfam says of the family: Transfer RNA (tRNA) molecules are approximately 80 nucleotides in length. Their secondary structure includes four short double-helical elements and three loops (D, anti-codon, and T loops). The record is from Rfam by way of RNAcentral. Lineage: Eukaryota; Metazoa; Arthropoda; Arachnida; Araneae; Nephilidae.
GUCCCUGUUGCGCAAUGGAUAGCUCUUUGGACUUCUAAUCCAAAGGUCAUGGGUUCGAAUCUCAUCUGGGAUG